CAUGGCUCUACGGCUAGCAAGAAUUGCUCCAAAUGUGCAGAAGCAACAAAAUGUCCCAAGAGUUGACGAGGGGAAUCACAAAAUCGUAGUAUAAUUAAGGUUACAAAAGACCUCUCAGAUCAUCUAGUCCAACCAUCAAUCCAUCACCACCAUGCCUACUAAUCUAUGCCACGUCUACCCUUUCCUUGAAAGCCUCCAGAGAGGACAAUGGGACCUUCGUGCUCUGGUGUGCUUGGUGGCUCCUUGUCCACUGUGCCCUAGGGAAAAGCCUGGGAGAGAACAGAUGCUUUCUGAUGAGCUGUAAGCAUGCACAAAGGGCGUCCAGGAAAAAGUCUCUCCAAAAGGAAAACCUGGAAUAGAACAGAAAAGGGAAGUGGCUGGGGGUCUGGGGAAGCAGGGAGGAAGGGAGGCACCAGCACAGCCAGAUGUUCGUGUAGCUGUCCCUGGUGUCAGGGAGCAGUGUGGCUGGGGCUCAUGCUGGUGUCCCUGCAGCUGCACCCACAGUUGGGUGCGGAGCACGGAAUUCCUCACGGACACAGGCGAGGCAGCAAAAAUAACCCCUGAGAGAAUGGACCGUGUCCUGACCAUUGUUUUAACACUUAGAAACAGCAAGUCGGUAUGAGGGGAAAAUGAGUCAAGGGAAGCACUAUGGUGUAUGACAAAUGGAAAAUAUCCUGCAGGGCAUCUCCAGCACGUGUGAAGUGUUGCUGUUGGCCAUCUCCCUGUGGGCUCUGUGUCACAGUGCCUGGCACAACACCAGCACCUGGUACAAUACCACCACCUGGCACAACACCACCACCAACUGGCACAACCCCAGCACCUGGCACAGCACCAAUAUCCGGCACAACACCACCACCUGGCACUGCACCAACAUCUGGUAGAACAUGAUCACCUGGCACGACACCAUCUGGUACAACACCAGCAUCUGGUACAAUACCAACACCUGGUACAAAAACAACACCUGGCACAAUACCAGCACCUGGCACAACAUCAACACCUGGUACUACACCAGCACCUGGUACAACACCAACAGCUGGUACAACACCAGCACCUGGCACAAACAGCAGCAAUUGGCAGGGUGAGGUCCUCAGCUGGGCCACGGUUGUGGCAGUCAUUGGACAUCAGAGCAAACUCAAAACUUAGAAAAUGAAAAGCAUCACAACUCGAUCUGGAAAGGAGAGGACAGAUUUAGACUUUCUUGGAAUGGCACUUCUCAUUGAUGGGAUGCAACCUCCCCUGCCUGCUAUCUGCUGAGAAAGUGAGCUUAAUGCUAACCUCAGCCCGGGUCCUUAUCUGGCUGAUGCUGGGCGUUCACUCCCUCGCAGCGAUAGCAGUCCUGGCACUGCUCCUCCCUCUCCCCUCCAAGUCUGUAGGGACUGCGCAGAGCUGCACAGCCUCAUUUGCACUGACGUGAAGGAGGCUGGAAAGCCUCGCAGGACAGAUAGGGAGGGUGGGGUGGCAGAAAGACAUCCCUGAGUUAUCCCAUGCACUGUGACGAGCCCCAUCACCAUCCUGUGGGAGGCCGCUCCAACAGCCUGCAAGCAGAGAAGAAAGAACAGUCAGUGUCCACAUGCUGAGAGAAGUGGCCCAGCUAAAGAGGUAUGGAGCUUGAGCAGUUUAAAUAAAAUACAAUAUAUAUAUAUUAAAGAUCUCAACACAGGGAUGAUAUCAGGUGGAAGGUUUUCACUGAGAGGGCAGCGAGGCCCCAGCACUGCUGCCCACAGAAGAUGUGGAUGCCCAUCCCUGGAGGCACUCGAGGCCAGGCUGGAUGGGGCCCUGGGCAGCCUGAGCGGGGUGCCUGAUCUAGCAGUUGACAACCCUGCUCACAGCAGGGGGGUUGGAACGAGACAGACUCUGUGGUCCCUUUCACCUCAAGCCAUUCUAUGAAAAUUUUCAGAAAAUCACGAGUAAACCAGCCUGAAAGGGAACUUGGACCCUUCUGGCUUCAACCCUUUGAGAGAAUCUUUUCUGCGGAGGGACCCGCUGGGAGAGGCACCCUGAGGCACAGCACUCAGCACCCAGCCCUGAAGCUCAUCCUUGGCUGUUCCCUUGUGAUGGAGAAGGGCUGAUGGUGGCAGAAGCCUGCUCCUCUGCGGAACACAGCCCUGAGCUGCACAGCAAGAUUACUUUCUGGAAGAUUUUGCUGUGUGUCAAGUGAACAGGAGCAUAAAAAUACUUUCUAACCACUAAUGAGAAACCCAGCAAUCCCUGUAGUCAAUGAACCACAGAGGUCAGAGAUAAGAAAGAUCAGUGAAAUUAGGUCAGUUGGAGCAUCCCUGUACCGGUGCCAGAAAACCUUAAAGGGCUGCUUGUAAAGCAGGCAUGCACAUUUCAAAGAGCACAGAGGUUGUAAGGUGCCUGAGAGGCCCCUCCAGCAAAGGCAACCCAAAGGCACAGACAGCCCCAGGUGCAGAACAGCCCAAGCAGCUGCGAGCUGGAGCUGCCAGCCCCCCACCUCCUGCCUGCUGUGCUGCAGCCAGGAUGAGACCCCAUUUCCAGACUUUGUCUUGGUUUGUAGGAAAUGAGGUCUCAGCUGCUCUGAGAAGUGACAAGGGAAGGAAAGGCCUGUGUACAGCAUCGUAGUGCUGCUACUCUGCUUUCCAGCUUCCUUGCAACUGUCUGCAAGAGGGGGAAUGGAUGUCUCUGGGGAGCAAUGAAGCUAUUCACUGCCUCUUCCUAUUUACCAUGUGGUCCUCUGCUCCUCAGCCCUAAAAUCAUUCUUAGCCACGGCCCUGGCCUGGGAGAUGCUGAGGCUGAGGCUGACCUGUGUCCCUUCAGCUGACAUCACUUCAGACCUCUCCCUGCAGCACUACUGGAUCAGCACACCUGGAGCCAGGCCGUGCAGAUGGGGCACAGCAGGCCCUUGCUGGCAGGCUGCGUUUUGGAGCUUUUCCUCCUGUUCUCCCUCCCUUCUCCCUCCUUUCUUCCCAUGUCUCCAUCUGCUGGAGGACCUCGGAGCAGCGAUGCCCGGGCUGCGUCACCCCGCCACACGCAGUCAGGUGCUUCUGCUGGCUGCAGUCCUACUGUCUGCACAACAAAAGUUGUUGCUGGACUCAAGUUUGCUGAUGUUUCCUACUCCUAUGGGGGUAGAGAUGUCAGUCCCAUUUAAGUCUGGUGCUCAGAGGGGUAAAAUGCAUUUUUAUUUUUUGUUACAAAAGAGCUCAAAGUAAAACAAAUAAAUGAAACGUGAUGGAAAGGGA
Long non-coding RNA from Gallus gallus (chicken), 3200 nucleotides. Lineage: Eukaryota; Metazoa; Chordata; Aves; Galliformes; Phasianidae. The record is from Ensembl.